RNAcentral lists this long non-coding RNA (1199 nucleotides) under Corvus moneduloides (New Caledonian crow). RNAcentral describes it as "lncRNA (ENSCMUG00000017007.1)". Lineage: Eukaryota; Metazoa; Chordata; Aves; Passeriformes; Corvidae. The record is from RNAcentral.
AUGACAGCAGCUGAUCCCCACAAGACAAGGGUGCAGCAGAGGUUGCCUACCGAGCCUUCAGAACAGUUCUAUUGCCAAUUUUUUCCCAUUGCUCCUUAUUGUGACGCUGACAAGGAGCACAGCAAAACUGACACAGCGAGGCACAGAGAUGCUGCAGGAAGAGCUCAGAAUUGACAAGUGACAGCGGAACAAGUGGCAGUGACCAGGUUUUCUCCCUGAGAUCUGAUUUCACGUUCAGCAUUCCUUGAGAUGAAAUAGGAAUAAACAGGUAUUUUGGUUUUACUCCUUUCUGUGAUCUCUGGUAUAGAAAUAUGACUAGUUUAGACCCAGUACUCAGAGGAAUCUCAGUUUUGCUGGGAUUAUUUGAUAACCAUUAGGCUUGUACUUAUUUCCUAAACCUAAAGCAACAGAUACAUAUUACUGGGGGGAAGGGGAGGGCUUCAAGGAAGGCCAGUAGGUCUGAGAAAAUCUGACUGAAUGUGAUGGUAGGGAGGAACCAGGCAGAGACAGCAGCAGAUCAGUUUUGCUGACCGACUGAAGGCUCAUUAGUGUGUCAGGAAAGGUUUGAGGCUGUGGCCCCAAGCCUCCACUGGGCUAUCAGGGACAGGGCUGGGGGACCCCUUGGGGCAGCUCCCUCUGUGCACAGGAAUCUGACCAUGGAGACAGCUCAAGGCCCAGGCUCUUUGUGCUCUACCUGCCUGGGGACACCAGGACAAAUGCAAAGAGGACCUAUUUUAGUCACUGCACAUAAAUAGUAGCCACCCACUGUAAGCAAUGGCUUUGUUCUUCUCUACUCCAGUCCAAUAUAUAAGGCUUCCACAGCAGCCUGACCUUAAAUCUCAAUUUGCUCCCAAAUCCCAAGGGAGAGGGAGCUCUGUGAGAACUCCUGGAGAUGGGUCAUUAAAUUAACAUUUUUGUCUCAUUAGCUUUUGAAAGCAGCAGUUACAGCACAAGGGACUUGGCCUGGUGAUAUACCUACACAUGCACAGCAUGCUUCUACUAAACCCAUUAGACCACAUCUGCCUAGAGUACAUUUUUCUGGCCAGAACCCAUAAUAUUAAUCUCUGCUGUGUCCUACAUCCAAAAUCUAAUUUUACACUUACUGUAUUGGGAGAUGCUGCAUGAAUAAAGGGAUAUGUCAUUCUCACUCCUUUUGCACAUGGAGCCACUCUGGGUCCCACUCCUGCACUGCAGCAAUC